GACGGAGGAUGCAAGUGUUAUCCGGAAUCACUGGGCGUAAAGCGUCUGUAGGUGGUCAAAUAAGUCAACUGUUAAAUCUUGGGGCUCAACCUCAAAAUCGCAGUCGAAACUAUUAGACUAGAGUAUAGUAGGGGUAAAGGGAAUUUCCAGUGGAGCGGUGAAAUGCGUAGAGAUUGGAAGGAACACCGAUGGCGAAGGCACUUUACUGGGCUAUUACUAACACUCAGAGACGAAAGCUAGGGUAGCAAAUGGG
Molecule: ribosomal RNA, 253 nt
Filed under: uncultured bacterium
Lineage: Bacteria
Description: partial 16S ribosomal RNA
Rfam family: Bacterial small subunit ribosomal RNA
Source: RNAcentral